UACGUAGGGUGCGAGCGUUAAUCGGAAUUACUGGGCGUAAAGCGUGCGCAGGCGGUUCGACAAGUCCGAUGUGAAAGCCCCGGGCUCAACCUGGGAAUGGCAUUGGAAACUGGCGAGCUUGAGUGUGGCAGAGGGGGGUGGAAUUCCGCGUGUAGCAGUGAAAUGCGUAGAGAUCGUAAGGAAGACCAGUGGCGAAGGCGAGUUUCUGGACAGUUACUGACGCUGAGGCACGAAGGCCAGGGGAGCAAACGGG
RNAcentral lists this ribosomal RNA (253 nucleotides) under uncultured bacterium. Its description in RNAcentral is "partial 16S ribosomal RNA". It matches the Rfam family "Bacterial small subunit ribosomal RNA", at positions 524 to 776 of the family's 1533-position model. The record is from RNAcentral.